CCUACGGGAGGCAGCAGUGAGGAAUAUUGGUCAAUGGACGAGAGUCUGAACCAGCCAAGUAGCGUGAAGGAUGACUGCCCUAUGGGUUGUAAACUUCUUUUAUAGGGGAAUAAAAUGUGCCACGUGUGGGAUUUUGUAUGUACCAUAUGAAUAAGGAUCGGCUAACUCCGUGCCAGCAGCCGCGGUAAUACGGAGGAUCCGAGCGUUAUCCGGAUUUAUUGGGUUUAAAGGGAGCGUAGGGGGAUUGUUAAGUCAGUUGUGAAAGUUUGCGGCUCCACCGUAAAAUUGCCGUUGAAACUGGCAGUCUUGAGUACAGUAGAGGUGGGCGGACUUCGUGUUGUAGCGGUGACCUGCU
RNAcentral lists this ribosomal RNA (355 nucleotides) under uncultured bacterium. RNAcentral's name for it is "partial 16S ribosomal RNA". It matches the Rfam family "Bacterial small subunit ribosomal RNA", at positions 338 to 690 of the family's 1533-position model. The record is from RNAcentral.